RNAcentral lists this ribosomal RNA (520 nucleotides) under uncultured Glomus. Its description in RNAcentral is "SSU rRNA". It matches the Rfam family "Eukaryotic small subunit ribosomal RNA", at positions 569 to 1095 of the family's 1831-position model. The record is from RNAcentral. Lineage: Eukaryota; Fungi; Glomeromycota; Glomeromycetes; Glomerales; Glomeraceae.
AGCAGCCGCGGUAAUUCCAGCUCCAAUAGCGUAUAUUAAAGUUGUUGCAGUUAAAAAGCUCGUAGUUGAAUUUCGGGGUCAGUAGGUUGGUCGUGCCACAGGUACGUACUGGUCUCACUGAUUCCUCCUUCCUGAUGAACCGUAAUGCCAUUAAUUUGGUGUUGCGGGGAAACUGGACUGUUACUUUGAAAAAAUUGAGUGUUUAAAGCAGGCUAACGCUUGAAUACAUUAGCAUGGAAUAAUGAAAUAGGACGUUCGAUCCUAUUUUGUUGGUUUCUAGGAUUGACGUAAUGAUUAAUAGGGAUAGUUGGGGGCAUUAGUAUUCAAUUGUCAGAGGUGAAAUUCUUGGAUUUAUUGAAGACUAACUACUGCGAAAGCAUUUGCCAAGGAUGUUUUCAUUAAUCAAGACGAAAGUUAGGGGAUCGAAGACGAUCAGAUACCGUCGUAGUCUUAACCAUAAACUAUGCCGACUAGGGAUCGGAUGAUGUUAUUUUAAUGACUCAUUCGGCGCCUUACGGGA